This 421-nucleotide ribosomal RNA is filed under the name uncultured Alistipes sp. RNAcentral's name for it is "bacterial SSU rRNA". It matches the Rfam family "Bacterial small subunit ribosomal RNA", at positions 356 to 774 of the family's 1533-position model. Lineage: Bacteria; Pseudomonadati; Bacteroidota; Bacteroidia; Bacteroidales; Rikenellaceae. The record is from RNAcentral.
GGGGAAUAUUGGUCAAUGGACGCAAGUCUGAACCAGCCAUGCCGCGUGCAGGAAGACGGCUCUAUGAGUUGUAAACUGCUCUUGUACGAGGGUAAACUCACCUACGCGUAGGUGACUGAAAGUAUCGUACGAAUAAGGAUCGGCUAACUCCGUGCCAGCAGCCGCGGUAAUACGGAGGAUUCAAGCGUUAUCCGGAUUUAUUGGGUUUAAAGGGUGCGUAGGCGGUUUGAUAAGUUAGAGGUGAAAUCCCGGGGCUUAACUCCGGAACUGCCUCUAAUACUGUUAGACUAGAGAGUAGUUGCGGUAGGCGGAAUGUAUGGUGUAGCGGUGAAAUGCUUAGAGAUCAUACAGAACACCGAUUGCGAAGGCAGCUUACCAAACUAUAUCUGACGUUGAGGCACGAAAGCGUGGGGAGCAAACA